RNAcentral lists this ribosomal RNA (449 nucleotides) under uncultured prokaryote. RNAcentral's name for it is "bacterial SSU rRNA". It matches the Rfam family "Bacterial small subunit ribosomal RNA", at positions 355 to 796 of the family's 1533-position model. The record is from RNAcentral.
UAGGGAAUCUUCGGCAAUGGACGGAAGUCUGACCGAGCAACGCCGCGUGAGUGAAGAAGGUUUUCGGAUCGUAAAGCUCUGUUGUAAGAGAAGAACGAGUGUGAGAGUGGAAAGUUCACACUGUGACGGUAUCUUACCAGAAAGGGACGGCUAACUACGUGCCAGCAGCCGCGGUAAUACGUAGGUCCCGAGCGUUGUCCGGAUUUAUUGGGCGUAAAGCGAGCGCAGGCGGUUAGAUAAGUCUGAAGUUAAAGGCUGUGGCUUAACCAUAGUACGCUUUGGAAACUGUUUAACUUGAGUGCAAGAGGGGAGAGUGGAAUUCCAUGUGUAGCGGUGAAAUGCGUAGAUAUAUGGAGGAACACCGGUGGCGAAAGCGGCUCUCUGGCUUGUAACUGACGCUGAGGCUCGAAAGCGUGGGGAGCAAACAGGAUUAGAUACCCCCGUAGUCC